Molecule: ribosomal RNA, 105 nt
Filed under: uncultured bacterium
Lineage: Bacteria
Description: partial 16S ribosomal RNA
Rfam family: Bacterial small subunit ribosomal RNA
Source: RNAcentral
CGUUCCCGGACCUUGUACACGCCGCCCGUCAAGCCAUGGAAGUUGGGAGGACCUGAAGACAGUUGCUGCAAGGCGCUGUUUAGGGUUAAACCGAUGACUGGGGCU